Dromaius novaehollandiae (emu) is the source of this 7662-nucleotide long non-coding RNA. RefSeq lists it as uncharacterized. NCBI's taxonomy places the organism in Eukaryota, Metazoa, Chordata, Aves, Casuariiformes, Dromaiidae. The transcript is spliced from 4 exons. The record is from RefSeq and is a predicted model, not a curated record.
UUUUGUGUUCAUGCUUUGUUUUUUCACUCCAAGGGUGAAAAGGGUUCUUUCUCAAAAGAUGCUAACUUGUUGCAGCCCCACCUCCCCUUGACUUCAGGCGAGAUGAGAAGACUUACUUAAAACAGCCAACCACAUCUAUCAAAAUAACCAAAAUCAAAGCUUGAUUCAAGCCUGCAAAUGAAUGGAACUAGUCCUGGCUGUGAAUGGAACCACCAGCAGCUUCAUUUAGCCUUACUCUUGGAAGUCCCUGUUUGCAAUCGGCAUUGCUAUAGGUUCUUCACAGGCUGUUGAAGCUUGAUAUAGUAGCAGUUGAACCAGCACAUAAUAGUUGAUGUACUUUCUGAUCUUGUAGUCCUACGUCUGAGAAGCUGAGCAGAAUGCUUACAGAGAUUGGAUCUAAUGAGAAUUGAAGUUUCAUCCUUGGGAGGUUUUGGUGUUGACAGACAGAACAUACACAGCACACACGUCUGCAUGGCUUAGAAAUGGAAAGACAAACACUGAAAAGAUACUGGCAAUGAAUCAGAUGUUGCCUCAGUUCCUUAUUUGUUACAAAACAGGAAGCAUCACUACAUUACUGGUAGGUUUGCCUUUCUCAAAUGCAGCAUAUAGGUAAAAAGUAGCUCAUUUGACAAAGAGAGGAAGGCUGGCCCUUUGAUAAAGGGAUGCUUUAGGAUAUAAUAGAUUCCAGGUCUUAAUCUUCCAAAGAUUACCUACCUGGCACUGGAAUAAGUCAUUAAGGAGUCAUUCCACCUCAUUUUAACCAUCUGGAAGUUAGGUAUCUACUCACAACAUUGUUUCUCUGCUAUUAAUAGAGAGCAUCCUGAAAAGGUGACUUUUGUUAUUCCAGAAAGAAUCAUCCAUUGAAGGUAUGGCUUUUUCUCAUUUACUAUAAGAUGAGCCUAGUCAGCUAUGUUUGCCUGCAUACAAAAUUUGUAGAUGUCUGUCUUCAAUAUCACUGUACUGUCUUCAAGAGUUGGAGGCAGUCCUGUAUCUGAGGAAUUGAAUAUACUGUCCAGGCUGGACAGACUGGACAGUACAGGAAAGGCUCUCAAGAUCUCAAGAUAGCUUGCCAUUAAGUAUUCUCUCUCUUUCUCUCUCUGGGUGUUUCUCUUUUUAUAAAUACAUAAUCAACUUAAUUUUUAACCUAUUCUGUUGAGAGGGGAAACCUCUACCCUCUACCCUCCACAUCUUGUGCAGUUUUGCCAUGUGGUUUUCCUUUACAGCACACUAAAAACAAUCAUUCAAACUUUGCCCUAUUACUUUUGUCCUCCCAUGUUACACUUCUGUGUGUCAGAGGAUAAAAAUUGUUUGUAAUAAUUUUGCAGCCUGCUUUCAAAUGCCCCAAAUGCUUCCAUUCAUCCACAAGCACUGAGAAACUGGACUGAUCUAUCUGCUUAAUUUACAAGUGGUGAGGUUAGGCAAGUUGAUCUGGACCCCCCUUUCCAGACGUACUCUUGUGACUGAUUUUAAGGAGUUUUAGCUCCUUAAUUUCCAGUUAUUGUUUCUCAUCUGUUAACUGUACCCCACCCCUUUGGCUGCACUGCUGUGACUUAUUGUGUGAGGUACAGUCAGCCUUUCAGUGUGAAUUGAAAUAGCAACCAACAGCCAAAGGAUUGUAACUGUUUAAGCUGUUAAGGCUCAACUGAAAGAGUAUAUCCAAGUGUACCCUUAAACCCUCUGUCCCUCAACCUUCCGUCUAUAAACCGUGAUUUAUGUCUCCCUGCCUCAUCACAGUAAGUUGUGACAGUUACUCGCUCACAGGAUUACAGCUUAAAUGAAAAUAUAUUUAAAACUGAAUCCAGUGAACUCAACCUGAACUUUUUUGAAUUCCCAUAUGCCUACCAAAAGGAAGAAUAAAUACCUCUUUAGAGAACAGAGCUGCACAGACAUUGAUUUGCUCUAAUUUUGGGCAAGGCAAUGUAAGAUUACCUCUUUCUUCAUAACACUUUGAGGGAGACAACCUGUUGCAGAGUAACUGGGUCCUGACUCAGGCCCCCAAAUUUUGAUGGAGGGAAGUUUUUGUCUAGAUCCAGGUUGUGAGUUUUUGGUUUAGGCUGGACUCUAUAGAAUAUAAGAUUUGCAGAGGAGGAUUUAAUGCUGCAAUUUGUUCCCACAAACAAAAGCUCCUGUAGUUCUUGUGCUGCUUUGGUGUGGUUUUGGCUUUAGUAAGCACAAAUUGUAACUUUUUGCCUACCUUCUCAAAGGAUGUUCCUCCUCCAAAGCACACAGUGCUUGUUGUGAGCCUGAUUAUGCCACAAACCCAGCAAAGAACAUGUUCAUGGGGCUGUAGCAGAGUGGUUGUUCCCUAGAUAUCUUAUUGACUGACACGUUAAUUGGGCAACUUGCAAGAUCUCUGAAGACAGGGAGAGAUUUCCUAUGCAACUUCUCCCAGGCAGGACAGAAUUUUAACCUUUGCAAAUGAUCCGCAUCCAGCACAGGCAUAAGCAUGUGCUCUGCUCCAGCUCUAAGAGCCACUGGGUGGAGAAUUGGAGUUAAAUUAAAAUGGAGAAGUAGGAGUUGACUAUGGUGGGGAAAUCCGUAAGGGAUGUAUUGCAACAGUGAGGUGCUGAAUUUGCUGCCCUCUUUCUCCAACAAUUUGGUUGGAAAGUGCAGCUUUGGCAGAGAAAUGCCCUCAAGGAGGGUUGUGUGUUGAGUUUUUAUUUCCAAACUAAGUUGUCCCUGUGUGUUUAUGUGGAAGUUGAAGAGACUGAAAUUUCCCUUUCAGAGCUACUGCUUAGUGGCCAGCAGCAUGGGACAAAUACUCUCCUACAGGGAGACCUGAUAAGGAAAAGGAAGCCUAUGAAGUGUUUAAACAAUUUGAGGAAACCCCUGAAUCACAGACCCUCGUUCUCAUGGGGGACUUUAACCUCCCUGACAUCUGCUGGAAGGGCAACUCAGCUGGAUGCAAGCAGUCAAGAAGAUUUCUGGAUGGUGUUGGGGAUAACUCUUUGAUACAGGUAUUGGAUGGGCCAACCAGGGGUGAUGCACAGCUGGAUCUGCUAAUCUCUAACAAAGAAGACCUGGCUGUGGCGGUGGUGAUCAAUGGCAGCCUUGAGUGUCAUGACUGUAAAACAGUGGAGCUCAAGAUCCUGUUGGGAGUGAAAAAAGAGAGUAGCAGAGUACAGACCCUGGACUUCAGGCGAGCAUAAUUCAGCUUAUUCAGGGAACUGGUAGGUGAGAUCCCAUGGGGGCCGCUCUGAAGGGCAAUGGAGCUCAGGAAAGCUGGCAGGUCUUUAAGGACAGCAUCCUCCAAGCGCAAGAACAGAUCAUCCCGAAAUUCUUGAAAACAGGUAGAUAACGUCAGGAGACCAGCCUGGCUAAUCAGGAAACUCCUGGCAGAGCUCCAAUGCAAAAAGGCAGCAUACAGGAGGUGGAAGCAGGGCCAGACUACCAAGGAGGAAUUCAGAAACAUUGCCCAGGCAUGUAGGGAUGGUGUCAGAAAAGCCAAAGCACAACUGGAAUUGACCCUUGCAAGAGACAUGAAGGGCAACAAGAGCUUUUACUAUGACAGUAGUAAAAGGCUGAACAAAGAAAAUGUUGGCCCAUUGUUGAAUGGGGCAGAUGAUUUAGUGACAGCAGACACCAACAAGGCUGGGGUGCUCUAUGGCCUCUUUGCUUCAGUCUUCACCAAAAAAGGUGUCCCAGACCUCUGCACUUAGUGAAAGGGCUCAAGGAGGAGAAAAACAACCACCAGUGCAGGACUGAGCCACGGAUUACUUGAGUGAACCCAACCCAUACAAGUCCAUGGGACCAACAGAUUGCAUCCAAGGAUGCUGAGAGAUUUGGGUGAUGUCCUUGCAAGGCCUCUCUCUAUACAUUUUGAAAGGCAGUGGGGACUGAAGGAGGUCUCAUGGAAAAAGGCAAGUAUCACACCAAUCUUCAGAAACAGCCAAAACAACAAUCCAGGGAACUACAGGCAGGUUGGCCUCACUGCAGUCCCAGGAAAAAUUAUGGAGCAAAUCCUUCUGGAGCACAUUUCUGGCCAUAUGAAGGAGAAGAUCAUAGGGAACAGUCAGCAUGGAUUUACCAAUGGUAAAUCUCGCCUGACCCACCUGAUUGAUUUCUAUGAUAAAAUGAUCAGAUCUGUGGUUGAAGGGAGAGAAGUAGAUGUCAUUUACCUUGACUUUAGCAAGGCUUUGGACACAAUCUUCUGCAGUAUUAUUGUAUCCAGUUGGGACAUUAUGGUCUGGAUGGGUGGGCAACCAGCUAGUUAAAAACCUGGUUGGAUGGCCAGGCUCAGAGGGUCAUGCGUAAUGGGUUGUACCGUAGCUGGAUGCUCGUGACAACUGGGGUACCACUGGGGUCUAUCCUGGGACCUGUCCUGUUUUACAGUUUUGUCAGUGACCUGGUGGAAGUGAAGGAAUAUGUUCUCAUGAAGUUUGCAGAUGACACCAAACUGGGAGGACGAGUCGAUACGAUUGAGGAGGGCUACCAUUCAGAGGGACCAAGACAUCCUGGAGGAAUGGGCUGACAGGAACCUUUUGAAAUUCAGUAAGGACAAAUGCAAAGUCCUGCCCCCUGGCAGGAAGAGUCCCCUGCAGUGACACAGUGGGGGAUGGCCUGGCUGGGGAGCAGCUUUGCAGAAAGGACCUGGAGGCCAGGGAACAGCGAGCUGCACAGAAGCCAGCAGCACGUCCUGGCACCACAGAAGGACAACAGCAUCCUGGGCUGCAUUAACAGGAGCAGAGAGGGUAGAGCAAGAGGGAUUAUCCCCUUCUAAUCAGCAGUCAUUAGACCACAUCUGGAUACUGCAUCCAGUUUGGGUCCCUCAGGACAAGAAAGACGUCAACAAAUUGGAGCAAGUCCAGUGGAGGCCACCAAGUUGUUUGGGGGCUAGAGCACUUGCCUUCUGAGGAAAGAACAAGGGAGCUGAACUUGUUCAGGCUGGAGAAGAGACAGCUUCAGUGGGGCCCAACAGCAACCUCAUGCGUACAGGAAGCUCAUCAAGAGGAUAGAGCCAGGGUCUUCACCAUUGUAAAGAACAAGAGAAAACAAAAGUCAGUGGAAGCAAGAGAAUUUCUGACUGCAUGUAAGGAAAAACUUUUUUCCCCAUGAGGACAGUCCUGCACUGGAACAGGAAAGAGAUUGUGCAAUCUCCACCCUUAAAGGUUUCAAGACCUAACUGAAUAAAACCCUGAGAAACCUGGUCUGAUCUCAUAGCUGGCCCUGCUUUGAGCAGGAGAUUGAACUAGAAACCUCCUGAGGACCCUCCAAACCUGAAUUCUCCUGUGGUCCUAUGAUAAUACAGGACUUGGAUGAACUUCUAUAUAAAUUAAACUACCAUUAUUAGGAGAAUAAGAAGCAUCCAACCUUGAUUUGCUCAUACAGUGCUUGGCAAGGUAUCCUUGUGAUUAAAGACCCUCCCAGUUAAAAGUGUGUACUUUAUUUUUAUCCUAAGUAUGUUGGGCUUUGCCUUCCAGUCACUGGAUUUCUUCCUUUGUGGAAAACAUAUUACUGCUCUUCUGUUCCCUGGGUUGUCAUCCUUCAGCUUCCUUCAGGGAAGCUGAUAGAUUGCAGACUUUCACCAUUAAAACCUAUUUUCUUGUUCUCUUGGUUCAGGUCUGAACCCUCCCUAUAUUUUUUCAGAUCCUAUUUGGGAAUCUCCAGUUCUAUAUCCAGGAACCUAUUCUCUCUUCUGACGACAAUGUUGCGUGUGGUAUGGAUGGUACAUCAAGAGUCCACUUGGAUCCACACCAUGCAUUUUUCUCAGAUUCACUACUUCCCAGGAUGCCAUAUGCUCCUUAUCCCUAAACAUAAGCACUUGUAAUGGCUGCGCUGCCACGCAUUGAUUGUUUGUGGCCCAUUGUCUUGACAGUCAGUGUCACUAACUUGUUUUUCUUUUUUAGCACUCUAUGAGGCAUUGUAUCAGCUGCAAAUAUUCCUAGGAAGGACUUUGUGCAUUUUGGCAAGUUGUUGGUAAAGUAUGUAUUUGCAGAGGGGCAAAAAAGUCCUUCUGCCUCCCUCCUACCUCACUAGAAACAAGCCCAGCUGAUGCUGAUGGCCCUUCUGCACUUGCAGAGAGCUGUCUCUUUUGGAUUUGUUUGUUAUUUUAUCCAUGUAAUUUGUGGGGCAUUGAUUUUCGUUUCUUUUUGAAGGAGUCAUGUGGUGUUAAUCCAAGUGGUGUUACAGCAGUGCUGUUCUCUUCCUCUGGCAAUCUUGUAAUCUCUUCAAGGAGUGCUUUCAGGUUUGAUGGGGUUUGUCUUCUGUCAAGCAUCUGAGAAUGAAAUAAAUGAGAGGGAAGUAAGGAUCAGGAGAGGGGCAUCUUAACGAACAGGGGUGUGCUGGCCUAGAAGAAGGAGACACCUUCCCUCGGGGACUGGAAAAAGAAGAAAAAACAGAGUCUGAGGCCAAGGUAGCUGGGUAGGUAGGAAACUGGAACUGGGAGAUGGAGAAGACAGGUUCAAAAAUGUUAAUAACUUACAUCCAGUGACAUCCAUGCUGGUUACCAGGCAUAGGAUUGUGGAUGGCUGUUCACACAGUUUACUAAUGAGGUUUGUUGCACUGAGAGGGUACUGUAGGAUAGUCUCUAGUUCAGCACAUGUGUCUGGACAUUAACAAAUACUUCUCUUCUGUAUAUCUGGAACAGUAGGCCCUGGGCGCCUGCACCCAGCUGGACCUGAACCAAUGGCUGUCAGUUUUAUUCUCAUCUCAUACAGCACUCCCAGGGACCCCUCUGAGGAGCGGUUCACCCAAGACAUAACGAGACAUGCAGCACCUUGGGAAAGCCGCACCAUUUGGAGACAAGCCCAGGAGACGCAGCACUGACAGUGCACUGGCUGGGUGACCAUGCUCAUAGUUGGAGGAGAAGCCUUGUUGAAGCACAGACCUGAGCCUUGGGCAACCUGAGUUGCAUCCACAUUCUCCCCGUCCAAGCGGAGAAUCAGUUAUACUCAGUAUUCUUCAUCAAAGCACAGUCAUUACCAGGCUUUGUAAGGUCUGACAUGAUCUGCAAGAUGGAGGGGUAGAUAGGUUGGAAGGUGUCUUUCUGCUCUUCUGAGGAGACAUCCCAUGGCACUCAAGCAAUUCCUUUCUAGUCAGAAGGUCACAGAGAAUCCAGGUUGAAAAUAUCUGCUGUAGCUGUAAGUAAUAAGUCUUGGGUACUCGCUGUUCCAGACCUCAGAGGACGGCACAAUCAUGGAUUCUUAGCCAAAGUAUUACAUGGACCGUCUACUACCGGAUCUCUGGCUCCCCAUGCUUAACUUCAUGCUGUGCUUCACUUGUGAAUGAAAUCAAGCAUAAGGCGCCAAAGUCCUUGGUCAAUGUUACCUCUGAAUCUUCUGUAUAAUGCAGAGGACUUGAAUUAUGGAUCCAGAUCCAGCUUAUAGAUACCUGCUCUCAUUCUGUAUGUUUUUUAUUAAAGUAGUCUCUCCGUGAAUGUCAUAUUGGCAAACCAAGUUUUGGGAGCUCUUUCAUCAUUUAAAGGACAAUUGCUGUGUCACAGCAUUAUAUCUCAUCAGCUUUAUAUUAACAGAUGAAGAGAAAGGCUCUAAACUGUAUUUGAUUUUUAAAAAAUAAGUAAUAAAACGUCAUCUUUUUUCAUUCUGAGACUCUAUAGCAAAAGCACUGAACAGUGCUGUUUACCUUUUUUUUAUUACAUAGUAUUGGUAUUCUUAAAGGUUGGACUGGAAACUCAUCUUUUUCAUUAAAGUUCUCAAUAUCAGG